RNAcentral lists this ribosomal RNA (322 nucleotides) under uncultured bacterium. RNAcentral describes it as "bacterial SSU rRNA". It matches the Rfam family "Bacterial small subunit ribosomal RNA", at positions 9 to 307 of the family's 1533-position model. The record is from RNAcentral.
GAGUUUGAUCGUGGCUCAGGACGAACGCUGGCGGCGUGCCUAACACAUGCAAGUCGAACGGAGAUAAGCGCUGAUGAUUUAGCUUGCUAGAGAUUCUUGCUUAUCUUAGUGGCGGACGGGUGAGUAACGCGUGAGCAACCUGCCUUUCAGAGGGGGAUAACGUCUUGAAAAGGACGCUAAUACCGCAUGAUAUUAUGGAGCCACAUGGCUCUAUAAUCAAAGGAGCAAUCCGCUGAAAGAUGGGCUCGCGUCCGAUUAGGUAGUUGGCGGGAUAACAGCCCACCAAGCCGACGAUCGGUAGCCGGACUGAGAGGUUGAACGG